AGUGAACGCUGGCGGCAGGCCUAACACAUGCAAGUCGAACGGCAGCACAGCAGUAGCAAUACUGUGGGUGGCGAGUGGCGGACGGGUGAGGAAUACAUCGGAAUCUACCUUGUCGUGGGGGAUAACGUAGGGAAACUUACGCUAAUACCGCAUACGAACUAUGGUUGAAAGCGGCGGACCGCAAGGCGUCGCGCGAUUGGAUGAGCCGAUGUCCGAUUAGCUAGUUGGCGGGGUAAAGGCCCACCAAGGCGACGAUCGGUAGCUGGUCUGAGAGGAUGAUCAGCCACACUGGAACUGAGACACGGUCCAGACUCCUACGGGAGGCAGCAGUGGGGAAUA
RNAcentral lists this ribosomal RNA (339 nucleotides) under uncultured bacterium. RNAcentral describes it as "bacterial SSU rRNA". It matches the Rfam family "Bacterial small subunit ribosomal RNA", at positions 29 to 363 of the family's 1533-position model. The record is from RNAcentral.